CUUUUUUUUUAACAGACAAUAUAGUUUGAACAUUUCAUCCAUAGCCACUAGUAUAUUAUGUCACAAUAUUUUAGUUGAAUAAUACACCUUAGUCUUACUGCCUUUUCUCAUCCACGGGUCUUACAGCUACAGUAUUAUUCAUCUAAAAUAUCAGACUGUUGUGCUUCCAGAAAAUAUUGUUCAAACAUAUACUGUUUAAAUCAAAA
Molecule: microRNA precursor, 206 nt
Filed under: Glycine max (soybean)
Lineage: Eukaryota; Viridiplantae; Streptophyta; Magnoliopsida; Fabales; Fabaceae
Description: miR10437 stem-loop (gma-MIR10437)
Source: miRBase by way of RNAcentral